Molecule: unclassified non-coding RNA, 252 nt
Filed under: fungal sp.
Lineage: Eukaryota; Fungi
Description: partial internal transcribed spacer region
Rfam family: Eukaryotic small subunit ribosomal RNA (bases 1-46)
Source: RNAcentral
AAGUCGUAACAAGGUUUCCGUAGGUGAACCUGCGGAAGGAUCAUUACCGAGUGAGGGUCUCUCAGGCCCGACCUCCCACCCUGUGUUUUUGUGACCUUGUUGCUUUGGCGGGCCCGCCUCGAUGAGAGGCCGCCGGAAGCUCACGCUUUGGGCCCGUGCCCGCCAGUAGCCCCCUUAAAUUCUUAAUAAAUCUGUCGUCCGAGUCCAUGGAUAUAAUGAAAAAAACUUUCAACAACGGAUCUCUUGGUUCUG